This 435-nucleotide ribosomal RNA is filed under the name uncultured Pseudomonas sp. RNAcentral's name for it is "bacterial SSU rRNA". It matches the Rfam family "Bacterial small subunit ribosomal RNA", at positions 161 to 591 of the family's 1533-position model. Lineage: Bacteria; Pseudomonadati; Pseudomonadota; Gammaproteobacteria; Pseudomonadales; Pseudomonadaceae. The record is from RNAcentral.
CGCUAAUACCGCAUACGUCCUACGGGAGAAAGCAGGGGACCUUCGGGCCUUGCGCUAUCAGAUGAGCCUAGGUCGGAUUAGCUAGUUGGUGAGGUAAUGGCUCACCAAGGCGACGAUCCGUAACUGGUCUGAGAGGAUGAUCAGUCACACUGGAACUGAGACACGGUCCAGACUCCUACGGGAGGCAGCAGUGGGGAAUAUUGGACAAUGGGCGAAAGCCUGAUCCAGCCAUGCCGCGUGUGUGAAGAAGGUCUUCGGAUUGUAAAGCACUUUAAGUUGGGAGGAAGGGUUGUAGAUUAAUACUCUGCGAUUUUGACGUUACCGACAGAAUAAGCACCGGCUAACUCUGUGCCAGCAGCCGCGGUAAUACAGAGGGUGCAAGCGUUAAUCGGAAUUACUGGGCGUAAAGCGCGCGUAGGUGGUUUGUUAAGUUGG